GAUUAAGUUAUUAAGGGCGCACGGUGGAUGCCUUGGCACUAGAAGCCGAUGAAGGACGUUACUAACGACGAUAUGCUUUGGGGAGCUGUAAGUAAGCUUUGAUCCAGAGAUUUCCGAAUGGGGAAACCCAACAUGAGUUAUGUCAUGUUAUCGAUAUGUGAAUACAUAGCAUAUCAGAAGGCACACCCGGAGAACUGAAACAUCUUAGUACCCGGAGGAAGAGAAAGAAAAUUCGAUUCCCUUAGUAGCGGCGAGCGAAACGGGAAGAGCCCAAACCAACAAGCUUGCUUGUUGGGGUUGUAGGACACUCUAUACGGAGUUACAAAGGACGACAUUAGACGAAUCAUCUGGAAAGAUGAAUCAAAGAAGGUAAUAAUCCUGUAGUCGAAAAUGUUGUCUCUCUUGAGUGGAUCCUGAGUACGACGGAGCACGUGAAAUUCCGUCGGAAUCUGGGAGGACCAUCUCCUAAGGCUAAAUACUCUCUAGUGACCGAUAGUGAACCAGUACCGUGAGGGAAAGGUGAAAAGCACCCCGGAAGGGGAGUGAAAUAGAACCUGAAACCGUGUGCUUACAAGUAGUCAGAGCCCGUUAAUGGGUGAUGGCGUGCCUUUUGUAGAAUGAACCGGCGAGUUACGAUUUGAUGCAAGGUUAAGCAGUAAAUGUGGAGCCGUAGCGAAAGCGAGUCUGAAUAGGGCGUUUAGUAUUUGGUCGUAGACCCGAAACCAGGUGAUCUACCCUUGGUCAGGUUGAAGUUCAGGUAACACUGAAUGGAGGACCGAACCGACUUACGUUGAAAAGUGAGCGGAUGAACUGAGGGUAGCGGAGAAAUUCCAAUCGAACCUGGAGAUAGCUGGUUCUCUCCGAAAUAGCUUUAGGGCUAG
Molecule: ribosomal RNA, 881 nt
Filed under: Staphylococcus argenteus
Lineage: Bacteria; Bacillati; Bacillota; Bacilli; Caryophanales; Staphylococcaceae
Description: partial 23S ribosomal RNA
Rfam family: Bacterial large subunit ribosomal RNA
Source: RNAcentral